AUUGAACGCUGGCGGCAGGCCUAACACAUGCAAGUCGAGCGGAGCGGCGGACGGGUGAGUAACGCCUAGGAAUCUGCCUGGUAGUGGGGGAUAAAGUCCGGAAACGGGCGUCAAUACCGCAUACUAUGAGAUGAGCCUAGGUCGGAUUAGCUAGUUGGUGGGGUAAAGGCCUACCAAGGCGACGAUCCGUAACUGGUCGGAGAGGAUGAUCAGUGCCACUGGAACGGGGACACGAUCCAGACUCCUACGGUAGGCAGCAAUGGGGAAUAUGGGACAGCGGGCGAGAGCCUGAUACAGCCAUGCCACGUGUGUGAAGAAGGUCUUCGGGUUGUAAAGCACGUUAUGUUGGGGGACGUUACCAGCAGAAUAAGCACCGGCUAACUUCGUGCCAGCAGCCGCGGUAAUAC
Molecule: ribosomal RNA, 407 nt
Filed under: uncultured bacterium
Lineage: Bacteria
Description: partial 16S ribosomal RNA
Rfam family: Bacterial small subunit ribosomal RNA
Source: RNAcentral